Ananas comosus (pineapple) is the source of this 1302-nucleotide RNA transcript. It is a transcript of the gene named 28 kDa ribonucleoprotein, chloroplastic-like, with no coding region annotated. The transcript has 6 exons. NCBI's taxonomy places the organism in Eukaryota, Viridiplantae, Streptophyta, Magnoliopsida, Poales, Bromeliaceae. The record is from RefSeq and is a predicted model, not a curated record.
AGCACUAUUGAGAUAUGGCGAGUUUUUUUUUGUUUCUUGGUUUGUGAGGUCGUUCUCGUUCGAGCUCAUGGCGCUUCCUCUGCUUCGUCCUCCUCCGCUCCCCUCUUCUCCCUUCUCCAAAACUUCUCAUACCCGACUCAUCUCCUUCUCGGUCUCCUCCUCCCCUUCUUCGUCUCCUCAAAUCUCCAUUGCUAAAAUUUGGGGGAGAGGGAGCUCCACUUCCGCGGCCACUUCCUCCAGUAGCUCGACCGCUGAAGCCACUACGGUGACCGAAGUGGAUUCCGGUGAGAAUCGGAGGCGAUUGAUAGCUCAGAAUAUCCCCUGGAGCUGCACCGCGGAGGACAUUAGAGAUCUCUUCGAGAAGCACGGCGCCGUAAUCGACGUCGAGCUUUCGAUGUACAACAGCAGUAAAAACCGAGGAUUGGCAUUUGUAACAAUGGCUUCAGAGGAAGAGGCACUUGCAGCCAUUAAUAAUCUGAAUUCCUCUGAAUUAGAUGGUAGAAUUAUCAAAGUGGAGUUUGCGCGGUCUUUAAAGAAACAACCUGCUGCACCAACAGUUCCUGUACAAAAGUACAAUGUAUUUGUGGGAAAUCUGUCUUGGAGAGUGAGGUCUCGAGAUAUCCAAGAGCUCUUUAGUGCUAACAGAAACGUUUUGUCUGCUGAGGUCAUCUUUCAGAGCAAUCCGAGGAGAUCAGCAGGAUAUGGUUUUGUUUCCUUCGCCUCAAAAGAGGAAGCGGAGGCUGCAAUAGCUACUUACAAUGGGAAGAGAUUUAUGGGGAGACCAAUCCGCUUGGUACUUGGUAAAUUACAUGCUGAUGAUUCUGGAAAGGAGCCAGAUGCAGCCGAGCAACCUGAGGAGGCACCGAAUGAGCUAAGUGUUAGCUGAGUGGCAUCAAAUUAAGUAUAAUGAACACAGAUUUGUUCACCAUCUAUGAGACCUGUAGUAGAUGAAGAGUACGUAACAUCUGCCAUAGUUCCUAUACCCCAAAAUUCAAGAAAUUAGUUGCAUUACACUAGUGCAGGUAGGUUAACUUCGCGAAACACCUUGGCGGGACACUAUCCGAAGAUGCAUUAGGGGAAUAUAAUAAGCAUCAAAACCUGCAAGAUGGCCUGAUAAGUAGCAUUUGGAUCAUUCUAUUAUUUGGAAAUGCUAGUGAAGAUGCAGAGGGAAACACAAUUGUAUGAUGAUUAUUGCCCUGCAACUUAAUGAUAUAUUUGACUUUUGUAAUUGUGUUGUAUCCUGCUGAAACUGCGUAAAUCUUUUAUAAUGGUAUGGCUAGUUUCUAAAAUAUCAAGUGAAAA